Molecule: ribosomal RNA, 238 nt
Filed under: uncultured bacterium
Lineage: Bacteria
Description: partial 16S ribosomal RNA
Rfam family: Bacterial small subunit ribosomal RNA
Source: RNAcentral
UGAGCAAUCUGCCCUUCUCAUCGGAAUAAGCGUUGGAAACGACGUCUAAUGCCGAAUACGACCUCCUUUCGCAUGAUCGGAGGUGGAAAGCUCCGGCGGAGAAGGAUGAGCUACGCGGCCUAUCAGCUAGUUGGUGUGGGUAAUGGCCCACAAGGCGACGGACGGGUAGCCGGCCUGAGGAGGGUGACCCGGCCACACGUGGGACUGAGACACGGCCCAGACCUCCGUACGGGAGCAG